CUUCGAUCCAUAUUGAGAUCAUGAAUGAUGACCUUCAGAUCUAUACCCGACAUGUCAGAGGCUAACCAGGCAAACACAUUUGCAUUAGAUUAGAGGAAUGAAACGAGGUGUCGGCGGUCCUCUUCACACAAGUUGGAGCUGACCUUGAUGAUUUUAGUACGGAUCAACCUCAUCCACUGGUAUUGAAAUAAGGUCCUCUACCAACUAAUCUUAUUGUUCUACUAGCUCAUCUCGAACA
This 238-nucleotide long non-coding RNA is filed under the name Elaeis guineensis (African oil palm). RNAcentral's name for it is "long non-coding RNA (EGUI_LNC044377)". The record is from RNAcentral. Lineage: Eukaryota; Viridiplantae; Streptophyta; Magnoliopsida; Arecales; Arecaceae.